RNAcentral lists this ribosomal RNA (374 nucleotides) under uncultured soil bacterium. RNAcentral's name for it is "bacterial SSU rRNA". It matches the Rfam family "Bacterial small subunit ribosomal RNA", at positions 26 to 399 of the family's 1533-position model. The record is from RNAcentral.
AGGACGAACGCUGGCGGCGCGCUUAACACAUGCAAGUCGUACGGGGCUCCUUCGGGGGUUCAGUGGCGAACGGGUGCGUAACACGUGAGUGACCUGCCCUUGUGCGGGGGAUAACCCGGGGAAACCCGAGCUAAUACCGCAUGAACUCAGACUGCUUCAUGGUGGAUUGAGGAAAGGUGCUGCAAGGCACCGCGCAGGGAGGGGCUCGCGGCGUAUCAGGUAGUUGGUGAGGUAACGGCUCACCAAGCCGAUGACGCGUAGGGGGUCUGAGAGGAUGGCCCCCACAUUGGGACUGAGAUACGGCCCAGACUCCUACGGGAGGCAGCAGUGGGGAAUCUUGCGCAAGUGGCCGAAAGGCUGACGCAGCGACGCCG